RNAcentral lists this transfer RNA (85 nucleotides) under Thermoplasmatales archaeon I-plasma. It matches the Rfam family "tRNA". From Rfam's summary of the family: Transfer RNA (tRNA) molecules are approximately 80 nucleotides in length. Their secondary structure includes four short double-helical elements and three loops (D, anti-codon, and T loops). Further hydrogen bonds mediate the characteristic L-shaped molecular structure. tRNAs have two regions of fundamental functional importance: the anti-codon, which is responsible for specific mRNA codon recognition, and the 3' end, to which the tRNAs corresponding amino acid is attached (by aminoacyl-tRNA synthetases). tRNAs cope with the degeneracy of the genetic code in two manners: having more than one tRNA (with a specific anti-codon) for a particular amino acid; and 'wobble' base-pairing, i.e. permitting non-standard base-pairing at the 3rd anti-codon position. RNAcentral also lists the same sequence under 3 other names. Lineage: Archaea; Methanobacteriati; Thermoplasmatota; Thermoplasmata; Thermoplasmatales. The record is from Rfam by way of RNAcentral.
GCGGGGGUUGUCGAGCUUGGUCAAAGGCACUAGAUUCAGGGUCUAGUCUCGUAGGAGUUCGAGGGUUCAAAUCCCUCCCCCCGCA